This is an RNA transcript of Nomascus leucogenys (northern white-cheeked gibbon), 987 nucleotides long. It is a transcript of the gene named coiled-coil-helix-coiled-coil-helix domain-containing protein 2 pseudogene, with no coding region annotated. The record is from RefSeq and is a predicted model, not a curated record. Lineage: Eukaryota; Metazoa; Chordata; Mammalia; Primates; Hylobatidae. The transcript has a single exon.
UCAAAUGCUCAGUUGUUUUUAGGGACCUUACCACUAACUUAGAGAGUUUUUAUAUCAUAGAAACUAAAAUAGGUUGAAAACAAAAACAAAAGCAAAAAUUAUAUCUCUAGGUUAAAAUAGUUUGCAAGAAGUAUGGCUAAUGAAAAUAGGAAGUACAUGCACUACAAAUGAUUUCUAUUUUUACCUCUGUUUUCAUGCCAUCAGGUAUAAUAUUGUAGUGCUGGAAGUUACUAUUGAGUCAAUUUAGGUUUAUUCUUCUGUGAAGCGUGGAAUCAGAUUUUUGAAAAUGUGACUGAAGCAGAAUUGGCUAGUGUUAGAAUUCAGCACUGACAUCAUGCAAAACAUUUCCUGAGCCCCGCCUCCCAUCUUCCGGUCUUCUCAGAAGUCGCUUAGCUCUUUGCUGGUUGUCACACGUCUGGAGGCCAAGCCGUCGCGUACCUAGGAUGCAGCGUGGAAGCCGAAGCCGCACCUCCCACAUGGCCCUUCCGGCCAGCCGGGACCCUCAGAUGAGAGCUGCACCUAGGCCAGCACCAGUAGCUCAGCCACCAGCAGCGGCGCCCCCAUCUGCAGUUGGCUCUUCUGCUGCUGCGCCCCGGCAGCCAGGUCUGAUGGCCCAGAUGGCAACCACUGCAGCUGGCGUGGCUGUGGGCUCUGCUGUGGGGCACACACGGGGUCACGCCAUUACUGGGGGCUUCAGUGGAGGAAGAAAUGCUGAGCCUGCGAGGCCUGACAUCACUUACCAGGAGCCUCAGGGAACCCAGCCGGCACAGCACCAGCAGCCUUGCUUCUAUGAGAUCAGUUUCUGGAGUGUGCCCAGAACCAGGGUGACAUCAAGCUCUGUAAGGGUUUCAAUGAGGUGCUGAAACAGUGCCGACUUGCAAACGGAUUGGCCUAAUCAAGAAGUUCAACCUGGAGAGAUGGAAAAUCAGCUCUCAUAACUAAGUUAAUUUAGUAUAAAAAUAGAAUUGAUAGUGAGGGUACAAAGUG